This 166-nucleotide ribosomal RNA is filed under the name uncultured bacterium. RNAcentral describes it as "partial 16S ribosomal RNA". It matches the Rfam family "Bacterial small subunit ribosomal RNA", at positions 1327 to 1500 of the family's 1533-position model. The record is from RNAcentral.
UGGAUUCGCUAGUAAUCGCGCAUCAGCCAUGGCGCGGUGAAUACGUUCCCGGGCCUUGUACACACCGCCCGUCAAGCCAUGGGAGCCGGGAGUGCCUGAAGGCCGUGACCGCAAGGAGCGGCCUAAGGUAAAACUGGUGACUGGGGCUAAGUCGUAACAAGGUAUC